GAUGAAGAACGUAGCGAAAUGCGAUAAGUAAUGUGAAUUGCAGAAUUCAGUGAAUCAUCGAAUCUUUGAACGCACAUUGCACUCAUUAGUAUUCUAGUGAGUAUGCCUGUUCGAGCGUCAUUUCAACCCUUAAGCCUAGCUUAGUGUUGGGACUCUACCCUAACCGGUAGUUCCCCAAAAUCAGUUGGCGGAGUUCAGUCGGCUCUGAGUGUAGUAAUUUUCUCUCGCUUUAGAAGUCUUCUGGAUUACGGCCAGAAAGAGACGAGUCUCGCAUCUCGGUGCGUUUCUCAACUUUUUUUUACAAUGGUUGACCUCGGAUCAGGUAGGAAUACCCGCUGAACUCAAGCAUAUCAAUAAGCGGAGGA
This 365-nucleotide unclassified non-coding RNA is filed under the name soil metagenome. Its description in RNAcentral is "partial contains 5.8S ribosomal RNA, internal transcribed spacer 2, and large subunit ribosomal RNA". The stretch from base 1 to 120 matches the Rfam family "5.8S ribosomal RNA", at positions 35 to 154 of the family's 154-position model. The record is from RNAcentral.